GAAGCCCAGCUUGCUGGGUGGAUUAGUGGCGAACGGGUGAGUAAUACGUGAGUAACCUGCCUUUAACUCUGGGAUAAGCCUUGGAAACGAGGUCUAAUACCGGAUACGACCAGUUCCCGCAUGGGAUGCUGGUGGAAAGGGAUAUGUACUGGUUUUAGAUGGGCUCACGGCCUAUCAGCUUGUUGGUGAGGUAACGGCUCACCAAGGCGACGACGGGUAGCCGGCCUGAGAGGGUGACCGGCCACACUGGGACUGAGACACGGCCCAGACUCCUACGGGAGGCAGCAGUGGGGAAUAUUGCACAAUGGGCGCAAGCCUGAUGCAGCGACGCCGCGUGAGGGAUGACGGCCUUCGGGUUGUAAACCUCUUUCAGCAGGGAAGAAGCGAAAGUGACGGUACCUGCAGAAGAAGCGCCGGCUAACUACGUGCCAGCAGCCGCGGUAAUACGUAGGGCGCGAGCGUUGUCCGGAAUUAUUGGGCGUAAAGAGCUUGUAGGCGGUUUGUCGCGUCUGCUGUGAAAGCCCGGGGCUUAACCCCGGGUUUGCAGUGGGUACGGGCUAACUAGAGUGCAGUAGGGGAGACUGGAAUUCCUGGUGUAGCGGUGAAAUGCGCAGAUAUCAGGAGGAACACCAAUGGCGAAGGCAGGUCUCUGGGCUGUAACUGACGCUGAGAAGCGAAAGCAUGGGGAGCAAACAGGAUUAGAUACCCUGGUAGUCCAUGCCGUAAACGUUGGGCACUAGGUGUGGGGGGGCAUUCCACGUUUUCCGCGCCGUAGCUAACGCAUUAAGUGCCCCGCCUGGGGAAGUACGGCCGCAAGGCUAAAAACUCCAAAGAAAUUGACGGGGGCCCCGCACAAGCGGCGGAGCAUGCGGAUUAAUUCGAUGCAACGCGAAGAACCUUACCAAGGCUUGACAUAUACCGGACCGCUCUAGAGAUAGAGUUCCUUCGGCUGGUAUACAGGUGGUGCAUGGUUGUCGUCAGCUCGUGUCGUGAGAUGUUGGGUUAAGUCCCGCAACGAGCGCAACCCUCGUUCUAUGUUGCCAGCACGUAAUGGUGGGGACUCAUAGGAGACUGCCGGGGUCAACUCGGAGGAAGGUGGGGAUGACGUCAAAUCAUCAUGCCCCUUAUGUCUUGGGCUUCACGCAUGCUACAAUGGCCGGUACAAAGGGUUGCGAUACUGUGAGGUUGAGCUAAUCCCAAAAAGCCGGUCUCAGUUCGGAUUGGGGUCUGCAACUCGACCCCAUGAAGUCGGAGUCGCUAGUAAUCGCAGAUCAGCAACGCUGCGGUGAAUACGUUCCCGGGCCUUGUACACACCGCCCGUCAAGUCACGAAAGUUGGUAACACCCGAAGCCGAUGGCCUAAC
RNAcentral lists this ribosomal RNA (1363 nucleotides) under Rothia nasimurium. RNAcentral's name for it is "bacterial SSU rRNA". It matches the Rfam family "Bacterial small subunit ribosomal RNA", at positions 70 to 1439 of the family's 1533-position model. Lineage: Bacteria; Bacillati; Actinomycetota; Actinomycetes; Micrococcales; Micrococcaceae. The record is from RNAcentral.